RNAcentral lists this long non-coding RNA (445 nucleotides) under Manihot esculenta (cassava). Its description in RNAcentral is "long non-coding RNA (MESC_LNC006179)". The record is from RNAcentral. Lineage: Eukaryota; Viridiplantae; Streptophyta; Magnoliopsida; Malpighiales; Euphorbiaceae.
CCCUGUUCAGCCAUUUCUUGCAUGUUUUUAUGUGAUGAUUUCAUGAUGUUCUAGGGGGUUUUUGGGGAGUAGUUUAGAGUUAUGUUUAUGUAUGUUUGGUCCCUCAUUGGAGUCCACCUGUGUAGGUUCGGACCCGAGGAACCGAGGACCCCAGCAGUGAGCCAGCUGCUACAGAGUUUGUCAGAGCCAGCCAGAGGUGAGUGGAAUAAACCUUAAAUUUUAAAUUAAUGAAAUAUGAAUUUUGAGCAUGAUCCAUGCAUCAUGAAUGCCAUGAGAUAUAGUAGGUUGUUUGCAUUAGUAUUCACGAAUAUGUUGCAUUGCAUAUUUGAUGAUGAUGUGGAUGGGUAUUGAAUGAUCCUUUAGUCCUUGAUAUGUUAUGAUGAGACAUGUUAUGGUAUGAUUGCCGGUUGUACCCAUUCUACGUCCCGGCCAGAGUAAGAGAAAG